AGAGUUUGAUCCUGGCUCAGGAUGAACGCUGGCGGCGUGCCUAAUACAUGCAAGUCGAACGAAGCACUUCGGUGCUUAGUGGCGAACGGGUGAGUAACACGUAGGUAAUCUACCUUACAGACGAGGAUAACGGUUGGAAACGACCGCUAAUACUGGAUAGUAAGUGAUCUCGCAUGAGGACACUUUUAAAGUUCCGUAUGGAACACUGUAGGAUGAGCCUGCGGCGCAUUAGCUAGUUGGUGAGGUAAUGGCCCACCAAGGCAAUGAUGCGUAGCCGGACUGAGAGGUUGAACGGCCACAUUGGGACUGAGACACGGCCCAGACUCCUACGGGAGGCAGCAGUAGGGAAUUUUCGGCAAUGGGGGAAACCCUGACCGAGCAACGCCGCGUGAAUGAUGAAGUAUUUCGGUAUGUAAAAUUCUUUUGUAGAGGACGAACUGCACUAUCAGGAAAUGGGUAGUGAAUGACGGUACUUUACGAAUAAGCUCCGGCUAACUACGUGCCAGCAGCCGCGGUAAUACGUAGGGAGCAAGCGUUAUCCGGAAUUAUUGGGCGUAAAGGGUGCGUANGCGGUAUGUUAAGUCUGAGGUAAAAGUGCGGGGCUCAACCCCGUGAUGCCUUGGAUACCGGCAAACUAGAGUGUGGUAGAGGCAAGUGGAACUCCAUGUGUAGAGGUAAAAUUCGUAAAUAUAUGGAAGAACACAGUGGCGAAGGCGGCUUGCUGGGCCAUUACUGACGCUGAGGCACGAAAGCGUGGGGAGCAAACAGGAUUAGAUACCCUGGUAGUCCACGCCGUANACGAUGAGUACUAAGUGUUGGUGUAAAUCAGUGCUGAAGUUAACGCAUUAAGUACUCCGCCUGAGUAGUACGUACGCAAGUAUGAAACUCAAAGGAAUUGACGGGAGCUCGCACAAGCGGUGGAGCAUGUUGUUUAAUUCGAGGAUACGCGAAGAACCUUACCAGGUCUUGACAUCCGGUGCAAAACUAUGGAGACAUAGCGGAGGUUAACAUCGAGACAGGUGGUGCAUGGUUGUCGUCAGCUCGUGUCGUGAGAUGUUGGGUUAAGUCCCGCAACGAGCGCAACCCUCGUCGUUAGUUACCAUCAUUAAGUUGGGGACUCUAGCGAUACUGCCAGUGAUAAACUGGAGGAAGGUGGGGAUGACGUCAAAUCAUCGUGCCCUUUAUGGCCUGGGCUACAAACGUGCUACAAUGGUUGCUACAGAGAGAAGCGAAGCUGCGAAGUGGAGCAAAACUCACACAAGCAAUCUCAGUUCGGAUUGAAGUCUGCAACUCGACUUCAUGAAGUUGGAAUCGCUAGUAAUCGCGAAUCAGAACGUCGCGGUGAAUACGUUCUCGGGCUUUGUACACACCGCCCGUC
RNAcentral lists this ribosomal RNA (1378 nucleotides) under uncultured bacterium. RNAcentral's name for it is "bacterial SSU rRNA". It matches the Rfam family "Bacterial small subunit ribosomal RNA". The record is from RNAcentral.